AUCGCUUCUCGGCCUUUUGGCUAAGAUCAAGUGUAGUAUCUGUUCUCAUCAGUUUUAAUAUCUGAUACGCCUCCUAUCUGGGGGCCAUAUAUUAAAUGGAUUUUUAGAACAGGGAGAUGGAAGAAGAGCUUGCUCUGUCCACUCCACGCAUUGACCUGGUAUUGCAGUACCUCCAGGACCGGUGCACAAAAA
RNAcentral lists this small nuclear RNA (192 nucleotides) under Leptobrachium leishanense (Leishan spiny toad). Its description in RNAcentral is "U2 spliceosomal RNA (ENSLLEG00000020058.1)". It matches the Rfam family "U2 spliceosomal RNA". Rfam says of the family: U2 is a small nuclear RNA (snRNA) component of the spliceosome (involved in pre-mRNA splicing). Complementary binding between U2 snRNA (in an area lying towards the 5' end but 3' to hairpin I) and the branchpoint sequence (BPS) of the intron results the bulging out of an unpaired adenosine, on the BPS, which initiates a nucleophilic attack at the intronic 5' splice site, thus starting the first of two transesterification reactions that mediate splicing. Lineage: Eukaryota; Metazoa; Chordata; Amphibia; Anura; Megophryidae. The record is from Rfam by way of RNAcentral.